GACGAACGCUGGCGGCGCGCCUAACACAUGCAAGUCGAACGGAGCUGAGCUAAGCUUGCUUUUCUUAGCUUAGUCGCGCACGUGUGAGUAACGCGUGAGUAAUCUGCCCUGGAUUGGGGGACAACAGUUGGACACGACUGCUUAUACCGCAUAAGCCCACGCUCCGGCAUCGGAUUUAGGGAAAAGGAUUUAUUCGCUUCAGGAUGGACUCGCGUCCAAUUAGCUAGUUGGUGAGGUAACGGCCCACCAAGGCGACGUUUCGUAGCCGGACUGAGAGGUUGAACCGCCACGUUGGGAAUGAGACACGGACCAGAAUCCGACGGGAGGGAGGAGUAGGGGAUAUUGCACAAUGGAGGAAACCCUGAUGCCGCGACGCGGCGUGGAGGAAGAAGGUUUUCGGAUUGUACACUCCUGUCGUUAGGGACGAUAAUGACGGUAACUGACAAGAAAGCACCGGCUAACUACGUG
Molecule: ribosomal RNA, 468 nt
Filed under: uncultured bacterium
Lineage: Bacteria
Description: partial 16S ribosomal RNA
Rfam family: Bacterial small subunit ribosomal RNA
Source: RNAcentral